RNAcentral lists this ribosomal RNA (253 nucleotides) under uncultured bacterium. RNAcentral describes it as "partial 16S ribosomal RNA". It matches the Rfam family "Bacterial small subunit ribosomal RNA", at positions 524 to 776 of the family's 1533-position model. The record is from RNAcentral.
UACGUAGGGGGCAAGCGUUGUCCGGAAUCAUUGGGCGUAAAGAGCUCGUAGGCGGCCUGUUGCGUCCGCUGUGAAAUCCCAGGGCUCAACCCUGGGCGUGCAGUGGAUACGGGCAGGCUGGAGGCAGGCAGGGGAGAACGGAAUUCCCGGUGUAGCGGUGAAAUGCGCAGAUAUCAGGAAGAACACCCGUGGCGAAGGCGGCUCUCUGGGACGGUACUGACGCUGAGACGCGAAAGCGUGGGGAGCGAACAGG